This 293-nucleotide ribosomal RNA is filed under the name uncultured bacterium. RNAcentral's name for it is "partial 16S ribosomal RNA". It matches the Rfam family "Archaeal small subunit ribosomal RNA", at positions 455 to 747 of the family's 1478-position model. The record is from RNAcentral.
GUGCCAGCCGCCGCGGUAAUACCGGCAGCCCGAGUGAUGGCCGAUCUUAUUGGGCCUAAAGCGUCCGUAGCUGGCUGCGCAAGUCCAUCGGGAAAUCCACCUGCUCAACGGGUGGGCGCCCGGUGGAAACUGUGCGGCUUGGGACCGGAAGGCGCGACGGGUACGUCCGGGGUAGGAGUGAAAUCCCGUAAUCCUGGACGGACCGCCGAUGGCGAAAGCACGUCGCGAGAACGGAUCCGACAGUGAGGGACGAAAGCCAGGGUCUCGAACCGGAUUAGAAACCCUAGUAGUCC